GGGGGAAUUCCUUGAUUAUGCUAAUACCGCCUAGAGAUAGGGGUAGGACGAUCAAUUGUAUUUUUCUUCUGUUUAUCAUGCAUUAUUGGUUACUAGGGAAGGCUAGAGAUAGCAAGCCAGUAAUUGGGAAUAGGCUCUUUUCGCCAAGAGAUUGAGUUUAUGAUGGAAUCCUGUCUCAUGUAGUCCUCUUUUUACAUUUUAUUGUAUUUGUAGUGUAGCUUGUAAGGAGCAUGGGUCACUAUUCACUUUUGAGAUUAAUGAGAAUUAGAUUUCUGA
Molecule: long non-coding RNA, 276 nt
Filed under: Vigna radiata
Lineage: Eukaryota; Viridiplantae; Streptophyta; Magnoliopsida; Fabales; Fabaceae
Description: long non-coding RNA (VRAD_LNC008346)
Source: RNAcentral